GGGUUGUGAGGUUAAGCGACUAAGCGUACACGGUGGAUGCCCUGGCAGUCAGAGGCGAUGAAGGACGUGCUAAUCUGCGAUAAGCGUCGGUAAGGUGAUAUGAACCGUUAUAACCGGCGAUUUCCGAAUGGGGAAACCCAGUGUGAUUCGUCACACUAUCAUUAACUGAAUCCAUAGGUUAAUGAGGCGAACCGGGGGAACUGAAACAUCUAAGUACCCCGAGGAAAAGAAAUCAACCGAGAUUCCCCCAGUAGCGGCGAGCGAACGGGGAGGAGCCCAGAGCCUGAAUCAGUGUGUGUGUUAGUGGAAGCGUCUGGAAAGGCGCGCGAUACAGGGUGACAGCCCCGUACACAAAAAUGCACAUGCUGUGAGCUCGAUGAGUAGGGCGGGACACGUGGUAUCCUGUCUGAAUAUGGGGGGACCAUCCUCCAAGGCUAAAUACUCCUGACUGACCGAUAGUGAACCAGUACCGUGAGGGAAAGGCGAAAAGAACCCCGGCGAGGGGAGUGAAAAAGAACCUGAAACCGUGUACGUACAAGCAGUGGGAGCACGCUUAGGCGUGUGACUGCGUACCUUUUGUAUAAUGGGUCAGCGACUUAUAUUCUGUAGCAAGGUUAACCGAAUAGGGGAGCCGAAGGGAAACCGAGUCUUAACUGGGCGUUAAGUUGCAGGGUAUAGACCCGAAACCCGGUGAUCUAGCCAUGGGCAGGUUGAAGGUUGGGUAACACUAACUGGAGGACCGAACCGACUAAUGUUGAAAAAUUAGCGGAUGACUUGUGGCUGGGGGUGAAAGGCCAAUCAAACCGGGAGAUAGCUGGUUCUCCCCGAAAGCUAUUUAGGUAGCGCCUCGUGAAUUCAUCUCCGGGGGUAGAGCACUGUUUCGGCAAGGGGGUCAUCCCGACUUACCAACCCGAUGCAAACUGCGAAUACCGGAGAAUGUUAUCACGGGAGACACACGGCGGGUGCUAACGUCCGUCGUGAAGAGGGAAACAACCCAGACCGCCAGCUAAGGUCCCAAAGUCAUGGUUAAGUGGGAAACGAUGUGGGAAGGCCCAGACAGCCAGGAUGUUGGCUUAGAAGCAGCCAUCAUUUAAAGAAAGCGUAAUAGCUCACUGGUCGAGUCGGCCUGCGCGGAAGAUGUAACGGGGCUAAACCAUGCACCGAAGCUGCGGCAGCGACGCUUAUGCGUUGUUGGGUAGGGGAGCGUUCUGUAAGCCUGUGAAGGUGUGCUGUGAGGCAUGCUGGAGGUAUCAGAAGUGCGAAUGCUGACAUAAGUAACGAUAAAGCGGGUGAAAAGCCCGCUCGCCGGAAGACCAAGGGUUCCUGUCCAACGUUAAUCGGGGCAGGGUGAGUCGACCCCUAAGGCGAGGCCGAAAGGCGUAGUCGAUGGGAAACAGGUUAAUAUUCCUGUACUUGGUGUUACUGCGAAGGGGGGACGGAGAAGGCUAUGUUGGCCGGGCGACGGUUGUCCCGGUUUAAGCGUGUAGGCUGGUUUUCCAGGCAAAUCCGGAAAAUCAAGGCUGAGGCGUGAUGACGAGGCACUACGGUGCUGAAGUAACAAAUGCCCUGCUUCCAGGAAAAGCCUCUAAGCAUCAGGUAACAUCAAAUCGUACCCCAAACCGACACAGGUGGUCAGGUAGAGAAUACCAAGGCGCUUGAGAGAACUCGGGUGAAGGAACUAGGCAAAAUGGUGCCGUAACUUCGGGAGAAGGCACGCUGAUAUGUAGGUGAAGUCCCUUGCGGAUGGAGCUGAAAUCAGUCGAAGAUACCAGCUGGCUGCAACUGUUUAUUAAAAACACAGCACUGUGCAAACACGAAAGUGGACGUAUACGGUGUGACGCCUGCCCGGUGCCGGAAGGUUAAUUGAUGGGGUCAGCGCAAGCGAAGCUCUUGAUCGAAGCCCCGGUAAACGGCGGCCGUAACUAUAACGGUCCUAAGGUAGCGAAAUUCCUUGUCGGGUAAGUUCCGACCUGCACGAAUGGCGUAAUGAUGGCCAGGCUGUCUCCACCCGAGACUCAGUGAAAUUGAACUCGCUGUGAAGAUGCAGUGUACCCGCGGCAAGACGGAAAGACCCCGUGAACCUUUACUAUAGCUUGACACUGAACAUUGAGCCUUGAUGUGUAGGAUAGGUGGGAGGCUUUGAAGUGUGGACGCCAGUCUGCAUGGAGCCGACCUUGAAAUACCACCCUUUAAUGUUUGAUGUUCUAACGUUGACCCGUAAUCCGGGUUGCGGACAGUGUCUGGUGGGUAGUUUGACUGGGGCGGUCUCCUCCUAAAGAGUAACGGAGGAGCACGAAGGUUGGCUAAUCCUGGUCGGACAUCAGGAGGUUAGUGCAAUGGCAUAAGCCAGCUUGACUGCGAGCGUGACGGCGCGAGCAGGUGCGAAAGCAGGUCAUAGUGAUCCGGUGGUUCUGAAUGGAAGGGCCAUCGCUCAACGGAUAAAAGGUACUCCGGGGAUAACAGGCUGAUACCGCCCAAGAGUUCAUAUCGACGGCGGUGUUUGGCACCUCGAUGUCGGCUCAUCACAUCCUGGGGCUGAAGUAGGUCCCAAGGGUAUGGCUGUUCGCCAUUUAAAGUGGUACGCGAGCUGGGUUUAGAACGUCGUGAGACAGUUCGGUCCCUAUCUGCCGUGGGCGCUGGAGAACUGAGGGGGGCUGCUCCUAGUACGAGAGGACCGGAGUGGACGCAUCACUGGUGUUCGGGUUGUCAUGCCAAUGGCACUGCCCGGUAGCUAAAUGCGGAAGAGAUAAGUGCUGAAAGCAUCUAAGCACGAAACUUGCCCCGAGAUGAGUUCUCCCUGACUCCUUGAGAGUCCUGAAGGAACGUUGAAGACGACGACGUUGAUAGGCCGGGUGUGUAAGCGCAGCGAUGCGUUGAGCUAACCGGUACUAAUGAACCGUGAGGCUUAACCUUACAACGCCGAAGCUGUU
Molecule: ribosomal RNA, 2930 nt
Filed under: Escherichia coli
Lineage: Bacteria; Pseudomonadati; Pseudomonadota; Gammaproteobacteria; Enterobacterales; Enterobacteriaceae
Description: bacterial LSU rRNA
Rfam family: Bacterial large subunit ribosomal RNA
Source: RNAcentral